AACGAACGCUGGCGGCAUGCCUAACACAUGCAAGUCGAACGAGACCUUCGGGUCUAGUGGCGCACGGGUGCGUAACGCGUGGGAACCUGCCCUUAGGUUCGGAAUAACUCCCCGAAAGGGGUGCUAAUACCGGAUAAUGUCUUCGGACCAAAGAUUUAUCGCCUUUGGAUGGGCCCGCGUUGGAUUAGCUAGUUGGUAGGGUAAAAGCCUACCAAGGCGACGAUCCAUAGCUGGUCUGAGGGGAUGAUCAGCCACACUGGGACUGAGACACGGCCCAGACUCCUACGGGAGGCAGCAGGGGGGAAUAUUGGACAAUGGGCGAAAGCCUGAUCCAGCAAUGCCGCGUGAGUGAUGAAGGCCUUAGGGUUGUAAAGCUCUUUUACCCGGGAUGAUAAUGACAGUACCGGGAGAAUAAGCUCCGGCUAACUCCGUG
Molecule: ribosomal RNA, 433 nt
Filed under: uncultured bacterium
Lineage: Bacteria
Description: partial 16S ribosomal RNA
Rfam family: Bacterial small subunit ribosomal RNA
Source: RNAcentral